RNAcentral lists this ribosomal RNA (220 nucleotides) under uncultured bacterium. Its description in RNAcentral is "partial 16S ribosomal RNA". It matches the Rfam family "Bacterial small subunit ribosomal RNA", at positions 57 to 305 of the family's 1533-position model. The record is from RNAcentral.
GCAAGUCGAGCGAGACCUUCGGGUCUAGCGGCGGACGGGUUAGUAACGCGUGGGAAUAUACCCUUCACUAUGGAAUAGCCUCGGGAAACUGAGAGUAAUACCAUAUACGCCCUUCGGGGGAAAGAUUUAUCGGUGAAGGAUUAGCCCGCGUUAGAUUAGAUAGUUGGUGGGGUAAUGGCCUACCAAGCCUACGAUCUAUAGCUGGUUUGAGAGGAUGAUC